GGGAAUGUGGCUUAGUGGUAAAGUGCUUGCCUAGCAUGCAUGAAGCCCUGGGUUCGAUUCCUCAGUACCA
This 70-nucleotide transfer RNA is filed under the name Dipodomys ordii (Ord's kangaroo rat). It matches the Rfam family "tRNA". Rfam says of the family: Transfer RNA (tRNA) molecules are approximately 80 nucleotides in length. Their secondary structure includes four short double-helical elements and three loops (D, anti-codon, and T loops). Lineage: Eukaryota; Metazoa; Chordata; Mammalia; Rodentia; Heteromyidae. The record is from Rfam by way of RNAcentral.